AGAUCCGAACCACAGCGAUGGCCUCAUAAGCUAGCUUUGCAUGUACUUUUCCAGUUAUAUCCUGCUCGAUUCCGUUCCAGCUCUGGGUACGCUCAGUUGCACAUGCAAAAACUUUUCCAAACAGGGGGACAAUUUUCCCACAAGCCAAUGAUUCAUGUAAGACAAGCUUGCAGCCUCUUCCAGACCACUUGUUCAGGCCAUCCUCAAAUUUAGGAUUUGCCAUGAUGUUCCCUUCUCCAUAUCCAGUGUCCACAAAUUGAUAAUGACUUGUUUCCUUUUGAUAACUUGUUUUCUCUUGAUAGCUUGUUUCCUUUUGAUAGCUUGUUUCCUUUCCAUAUCAAAAUGAAGAGAAUUUCACAAAUUAAUCAUCACAAAAAGUAUAAAUAAAAUUAAUAAAUAGAUUUAAGAAGAAAAAUUACGUAGAAUUCACUUGGUGGGGAGCUGGAAAUAACUACUGAUUGUAUAAGCAAGUCCACUGCAGCAGAAGGGCCUUCCAAGUAAAAAACGGCACGAUCAGGCUUCUUUGGCAGGGAGAAUUUUCCUUCCAACUUUUCCCACCUUUCCUUUGACAGAGAAAUUCUGCAGGGAUAUAUAACUUACAUUAAGACUAUCUGUAUGUUUCAUUUAAGGAAGAAACGCAAUAAAGUGAAGCAGCAAAUCUAUUACCUUCCAAUGAACAAAUAGUCUGUUGGGGAAUUUCGAUAUUCCACUCUCAAAGUAGCUUGUACAUCAGUGGUUCCCUGAAUAUGUCCUGAUACACCAACAUAUGCAGUAACAUAAUAAGUGGAACCUGGAGAAACAAUGCUUGUGAUAUCUUGCUCCAAGCCCUGCCAACUUUCUGUUCGAUUUGAGACAACUGCAUAAUAACCACCUCGCUUUGUUAAGAAUGCUGGGUGACCUGACUCUGCUGAAACCACAGAGAAACUGCAGCCAUUUGCGUGCCAAGAAUGCUGUCCUUGAGAGAAGUCAUGGUUCGUUAUGACAUUGAUGGUGGUGUUGCCACUUGAACCAGAUAUGCCUUGGUCCAUUAUGGUCUUGAUAGCAGUGUCACCAUAUGAACCAACAGUGCUCUGGUCCAUUGUGAUAUUGAUGGCACCGCUGCUACUUCUACAAGACAUGCCAUGGUCCCUUCUGAUAUUGGCGAUAUCGCUGCUACUUGAACUAACUUUGCCCUGAUCCAUUAUAUUAAAGUUUGAGCAACUUUGAAAUAUCUAUGUAAAAACAUGUAAAGAUUAUUCAAUAGAACAUUCAUAAUAAUAAUAUAACAACAGCAACAUUACAACAAUUGAGGUUUUCGCACUAAAUUUUAAUGGAGAAAAAAUUGCCGCUGCAUUAAAAUUUAGGCUAAUUUAUUUAAAAAGACCCAAUAUUUAUAUGUAUUUACAUUUUAAUUUAAUUCUUUCAAUUUUAGUUUAAUUAACUCAACCUUUAUAUUUUAGUAUAAUUUUAGCCUAUUUACAAAAUUUUAAAUUUAAUAGUCUAACUGGUAUCAAGUAUGUGUAUAUUAUUAUUAUUUAAUUGGUUAAUUAAUUAAAAAAGGCCAAAUAUUUAUUAUUUUAUAUUUUAAUUCAAACGUUUAAAUUUUAAAUAAAUGGAUUUAAUAUUUAUGUUUGAUUAUAAUUUUGAUUAAUUUUUAAAAUUAAAAUUAAAAAUAAAUAAUUUAAUUAUUAAAUAUGUAGUUCACAAUUUUAACUGAUAAAUUUUAUUUUACCGUAAUAAUUAUAAAUAUUUUAUAAUAAAUAUAUUAUUUAAUUCAAAAUUGUAGUAUAUAUAAAAUAAUUAAAAAUAAUAUAUUUAUUAUAAAAUUUUUAUAAUUAUUAAUACAAAAUAAAAUUUAUCUACUGUUAAAUGUUGAUAGCAUAUUAAAUAGUUAGAUUAUUAUUAUUUUUAAAAUUAAAUAUAUCAUUUAAAAUUACACUCUAGCAUUGCUCAAUUCAUCCAAAAUUUAAAUAUUUGAAUUAAAACGUAAAAUGAUGUAAACAAUAAAUUUUUAUAGUAAUUUGAUUAUUAGUUUAUAAUUAAAUAGUAAUAAUACACAUAACAUACUAAUUAAACUAUCAAAUUUAAAAAUUUACAUAUUAAUUAAAAUUGCAUCAAAACAUAAAGGUUAGAUUAAUUAAAUUAAAAUUAAAAAAAUUAAAUUAAAAUGUAAAUAUAUAUAAACUUUGAGUCUUUUUAAGUCAAUUGAUCUAAAAUUUAUUGUAAAAUACUAAAAUUUUACCACUAAGACUCCAUUUGUUUGGAGAAAAUAACUUGUAAUUGGAAAAUAUUUUUAAUUUAUAAAAAAAAUAAAAUAUAUUAACAAUUUAUAUAUAAGAUCUUAAUAAGAUUCUUAAAAUAGGAAAAAUGACUUACUUUUUUAAAAAAUCAAAAUUUAUUUUUAAAAUAAUUUAUUUUUUUUGGUAAAAAAAUAUUUUUUAUUGACUAAAUUUUUUAAAUACCUUAUCUAUUAAAAAAAUAUUUUUCUAAAACAUAUUUUUCAGUGAAAUAAAAGAAGAGUAAUUAUAAAAAAUCAUUAUUAAAACUUUUAACGUUAUAUUUUUUGUAGUGAUUUAAUGACUGAACUUGAAUUUUAUCUCUCAAUACUCUAGGGGUGAAUUUUACACAUUUAAUAAUAAUUUUUAUUUUUAUAAAAAGUUAAUUUCUUGUAAUCUAACAAUAAAAAAAUAUAAACAAAAAGUUUAACAUUAAAAUUGGAGGAAAAAUUUUUCUAUAUAAAGUUUAUAUAGACCAAUUCAUAUGAAACUAUAUAAAUUUAACACUAUAAAUCUAUAAGAUCUGAUCUAGAGAUAAGAAUUAUCGGUAAAUUUAGUUUAACUAACCUCAAUUGUUGGACGAGAGGAGGGAGGUACUUUCUCAGCAUGCUUUAGAAAAAAGCCGUUCACAAGAAUAUCAGUGCCUGCAGGUGGACCUUCUAUGAAAAUCACUACCUUUGUAGGGUAAUCAUUUAGAUGGAAUUUUCCCUUUAACUGUAUCCACUCUUUAUCUGUUGUCUGCAUACUACAGUUUCAAAAAGAUAAUCAUGAAAAUAAAUCAAGAAAAUGGUAAAAAAAAUCUAAAUAAUUUGAUUUGGUUAAUGAAAAUGAUGGAGAUAAUAUAACUAAAUAAAUCUUAAAACCUGGCGUUAUAAUCUAUAUCGAUAUUAAAUAUAAUAAAGUUUAACUCUAAAAUUAAGUUUUUCUAAAAGUAAAUGGGAAAGUAUAAUUUAAAAUCUCUCAAAUUUAUUCAGAUGCAUUUAUAAUCAGGCUAAAUCUGUGAGUGUAUAAGUCUUUUUAUUAUAUUUUUUAUAUUAGUUAAUUUUUCUCUUAUUUUAUUAUUACUUCCUCUCUACUAAAAGAAGAAAUGCCUUUAAAUUUUUAAAAAAUAUGAUAAAAAUAACUUUAAGUAUUCUAUUUGAGUUACUCAAGUAAAUAAUGGCUAAAGUAAGUGUCUAGAUGAUAAAUAAAGCCAUCUGACUCAGAGGGUUGAAUUAAGAAAAUGAUGUUUGCAGAAAUUGAAGGUGAUAAAAGAAUAUUAUAUAUGGAGAUAAUUAGAGGGAAAAAGAGCUAACUUGGCAAUGCCUAUGUAUUCUUCUUGGAGAUCUGUUGUUUGGACGCAUAAAGUAACUCGCACAUCAGCACUGCUAACAUUGUUGCCAAAGAUACGAACCACAGCAAUGGCCUCAUAAGCUUGCUUUGCCUGUACUUUUCCAGUUAUCUCCUGCUCGAUUCCGUUCCAGCUCUGGGUACGCUCAGUUGCACAUGCAAAAACUUUUCCAAACAGGGGGACAAUUUUCCCACAAGCCAAUGAUUCAUGUAAGACAAGCUUGCAGCCUCUUCCAGACCACUUGUUCAGGCCAUCCUCAAAUUUAGGAUUUGCCAUGAUGUUCCCUUUUCCAUAUCCAGUGUCCACAAAUUGAUAAUUACUUGUUUCCUUUUGAUAACUUGUUUUCUCUUGAUAGCUUGUUUCCUUUUGAUAGCUUGUUUCCUUUCCAUAUCAAAAUGAAGAAAAUUUUACAAAUUUAUCAUCACAAAAAUGUAUAAAUAAAAUUAAUAAAUAGGUUUAAGAAGAAAAAUUACAUGGAAUUCACUUGGAGGGGAACUGGUAAUAACGACUGAUUGUACAAGCAAGUCCACUGCAGGAGAAGGGCCUUCCAAGUAAAAAAGGACACGAUCAGGCUUCUUUGGCAGGGAGAAUUUUCCUUCCAACUUUUCCCACCUUUCCUUUGACAGAGAAAUUCUGCAGGGAUAUAUAACUUACAUUAAGACAAUCUGUAUGUUUCAUUUAAGGAAGAAAUGCAAUAAAAUGAAGCAACAAAUCUAUUACCUUCCAAUGAACAAAUAGUCUGUUGGGGAAUUUCGAUAUUCCACUCUCAAAGUAGCUUGCACAUCAGUGGUUCCUUGAAUAUUUCCUGAUACACCAACAUAUGCAGUAACAUAAUAAGUGGAACCUGGAGAAACAAUGCUUGUGAUAUCUUGCUCCAAGCCCUGCCAACUUUCUGUUCGAUUCGAGACAACUGCAUAAUAACCACCUCGCUUUGUUAAGAAUGCUUUGUGACCUGACUCUGCUGAAACCACAGAGAAACUGCAGCCAUUUGCGUGCCAAGAAUGCUGUCCUUGAGAGAAGUCAUGGUUCGUUAUGACAUUGAUGGUAGUGUUGCCACUUGAACCAGAUAUGCCCUGGUCCAUUAUGGUCUUGAUGACAGUGUCACCUCUUGAACCAGCCAUCCCAUGGUCCGAUGUGAUAUUGAUGGUUUCGCUGCUACAGGAAGUAGCUAUGCCCUGGUCCACUGUGGUCUUGAUGGUUCCCCUGCUACUUGAACUAGCUAUGCCCUGGUCCAUUAUAUUGAAGUUUGAAAUAUAUAUGUAAAAACACGUAAAGAUUCUCCCAUAGAACAUUCAUAACGAUAGAAUGAACAAACUGUUUUGCUCUGGGUCUAUAUUGACCCAUAAUGUAAAACAGCAAUGGGAUCUACAUAAAAUUUCAUAAAUUUAUACUACAGAUACAUGUACACACGAUGUAGAGAAGAAUUGUCCAUAAAGUUAGUUCAAUUAACCUGAAUUGUUGGAUGAGGGGAAGAAGAUACUUUCUCAGCAUGCUUUAGAAAAAAGCCAUUGACAAGAAUAUCAAUGCCUGCAGGUGGACCUUCUAUAAAAAUCACUAGCUUUUUAGGAUAAUUAUUUAGAAGGAGCUUCCCCUUCAACUGUACCCACUCCUUAUCUGUUACCUGCAUACUAUAGACCCAAAACGACAAUCAUCGUCAAAUCAAUUCAAGAAUAUGGUAAAAUAAAAUUUAAAUAAUUUAAUUUAAUUAAUGAAAAUAAUAAAAAUGAUAUAACCGAAUAAAUACUAUAAAAUUAAUUCUAAAACAUAUUUUUCUAAAAGCGAUAAGUGUCUUUCUAUUAGAUUUUUUUUCCUAAUCUAUUUCGCCCAUAUCUUAUUAAUUACUUAAUAAAUAGCUCUUUAUAUUUUUUUUUGAAAUAACGUGACUUUUCAUUUUAAUAAUAAUAAUAAUAAUAAAUAUGCAUAUAUUAAAUAAAAUUUAUUAGUAUUAUUAUUAUUAUUCCUGAUUGAUAUAUGACCUUCUAGUUUCUCAGUAUUAAACAUAAAAAAUUUAUAUACAAUUAAAAUAUAUGCGUGCGUGAUCAGAGAGAAAAUUUGAAAAAAAAAAUCUUAAAUUUGAAAUUAGUAAGUAAAAAUAAUUAAAAACAUAUAAUAAUGGAUCAAUUAAUCAUAAUUUUAAAUGCAUAUUAUAGUUAUCUUUUAACUAUUUUUUACCCAACUUUUGAUAUUUUUUAUGUUGAGGCAUUACUCUUAGGUGUUGAUAACUAAUAUUUACGUGAAUAUGAUUAUAAAAUAUCUAAUUAAAUUUAAAUAUAUAUAAAUCUUAUAAUAAUAAAGUCAACAUAAAAAUGAUUUAUAAUAAUAAUAUAAAGAAGUAAGAUGACAAGUAAAAUGAAGUCUGGUCCAAACAGUCCGGACUCUUUCUCUUAAAUUCUCUAUAAAUUGAGAGGCUCUACUCAAUAGAGAAACUUAGAAGAUCAAGUUGAAAUUAUAAAAAUUAUGAAACCGUACGGGUCAAACUGAUUUAAAUAAUUUUUAAAUUUAUUUUUUAUUUAAUAAAAAAUAAUUAAUAUUUUUAAAUUUAUUUUUUAUUUGAUUUAAAAUAGUUAACCCAAAUUAUUUAGUAGUUUUCAACUUGACCUAAAAUAGUUAAUCCGAAUUAUUUAGUAGUUUCAUAUUAACUAUUAUAUAUAAUUUCAAUUUAUUGUAGCAAGCAUCUCCCCCACUAAAUUUUAUGAUAUUCUCGUCGCACCCAUUUUCUACUUAACUCAAAACAAUUAACUCAAGUUAUUUAAUAGUUUCGUGCUAAUUAUUAUAUACAAUUUCAAUUUAUUGUAUUCUGCUGACGUAGGACGUUUCACAUCAAGUUCAAGCUGAGUUUCACACUCUCUUCCGUUAAAUUUGCGAUGUUCUAGUCGCUAUUAAAUUAGUUGCUAAAUCAGGACCAGACCCUCGGAUAUUAUGGUUUGUUAGUAUUUCGAAUGGUUUCAUCUUGUGUCACAUGAAUAGCCAUUUCCUUACAGAUUCACUAAUUCUGCACAAUUUUUUUUAUUUAGGAUGGACUCUGAUACCAAUUGAAACAGUUCGAUCUAAAUAAUUUUUGGACCCACUUCUUACUUGAUUCAAAAUAAUUAAUUCAAAUUAUUUAGUAGUUUUAUACUAACUAUUAUAUAUAAUUUUUAUUUUAUCGUAUUCUCCCGACGUGGAACGUUAGAUGUAAGCAAGCCCCUGACUUUCACAAACCAUGCUAAAAUUACAAAUUAUCCAUUUUACAGAAUUUUCACUCAAAUUUUAAAACUAUCAAAUUAUUUUUUUCCGAAUGUAAAAGGCUUUUCUUUAUCAAUUUAAGAAUAAAUUUUUUAAAUUCUUAAUCUCAUAAAUAAAAAAGAAAUUAAAAUAUCGAGUUUUUUUAUUUCAAAUAAUUUAUUGUUGAAAAUCCAACCCAUUUUUUUUAAAUUGAUAUUUAUUAACUGCUUUUUUAUUUUUUUAUUUCAGUUAUGAAAUUUACGUGCACACUAUUACUUUCUUUCACCUUGUUCCAAAUACAUUAAUAGUUAUUUCAACUAAAUAAAGCCUAAAAAUAUUUACCUGAUGUGGGUAAGUGUCUAGUUUAAAAAUCCAUGUGAAUAAAAGAUUGAAUUAAGAAAAUGCUGUUUGCAGAGAUUGAAGGUGAUAAAAGAAUAUUAUAUAUAGAGAUUAUUAGAGGGAAAAAGAGCUAACUUGGCAAUGCCUAUGUAUUCUUCUCGGAGAUCUGUGGUUUGGACGCAUAAAGUAACUCGCACCUCAGCACUGCCAACAUUGUUGCCAAAGAUACGAACCACAGCAAUGGCCUCAUAAGCUUGCUUUGCCUGCACUUUUCCAGUUAUCUCCUGCUCGAUUCCGUUCCAGCUCUGGGUACGCUCAGUUGCACAUGCAAAAACUUUUCCAAACAGGGGGACAAUUUUCCCACAAGCCAUUGAUUCAUGUAAGACAAGCUUACAGCCUCUUCCAGACCACUUGUUCAGGCCAUCCUCAAAUUUAGGAUUUGCCAUGAUGUUCCCUUCUCCAUAUCCAGCGUCCACAAAUUGAUAAUUACUUGUUUCCUUUUGAUAACUUGUUUUCUCUUGAUAGCUUGUUUCCUUUUGAUAGCUUGUUUCCUUUUGGUAGCUUGUUUCCUUUCCAUAUCAAAAUGAAGAAAAUUUUACAAAUUUAUCAUCACAAAAAUGUAUAAAUAAAAUUAAUAAAUAGUUUUAAGAAGAAAAAUUACAUGGAAUUCACUUGGAGGGGAGCUGGUAAUAACGACUGAUUGUACAAGCAAGUCCACUGCAGGAGAAGGGCCUUCCAAGUAAAAAAGGACACGAUCAGGCUUCUUUGGCAGGGAGAAUUUUCCUUCCAACUUUUCCCACCUUUCCUUUGACAGAGAAAUUCUGCAGGUAUAUAUAACUUACAUUAAGACGAUCCGUAUGUUUCAUUUAAGGAAGAAAUGCAAUUAAGUGAAGCAACAAAUCUAUUACCUUCCAAUGAACAAAUAGUCUGUUGGGGAAUUUCGAUAUUCCACUCUCAAAGUAGCUUGUACAUCAGUGGUUCCCUGAAUAUUUCCUGAUACACCAACAUAUGCAGUAACAUAAUAAGUGGAACCUGGAGAAACAAUGCUUGUGAUAUCUUGCUCCAAGCCCUGCCAACUUUCUGUUCGAUUCGUGACAACUGCAUAAUAACCACCUCGCUUUGUUAAGAAUGCUGGGUGACCUGACUCUGCUGAAACCGCAGAGAAACUGCAGCCAUUUGCGUGCCAAGAAUGCAGUCCUUGAGAGAAGUCAUGGUUCGUUAUGACAUUGAUGGUAGUGUUGCCACUUGAACCAGAUAUGCCCUGGUCUAUUAUGGUCUUGCUGACAGUGUCACCUCUUGAACCAGCCAUCCCAUGGUCCGCUGUGAUGUUGAUGGUUUCGCUGCUACAGGAAGUAGCUAUGCCCUGGUCCGUUGUGGUCUUGAUGGUUCCGCUGCUACUUGAACUAGCUAUGCCCUGGUCCAUUAUAUUAAAGUUUGAGCAAGUUUGAAAUAUAUAUGUAAAAACAUGUAAAGAUUCUCCCAUAGAACAUUAAUAAUGAUAGAAGGAAAAAACUGUUUUGCACAGGAUCUAUAUUGACCUAUAAUGUAAAAUAGUAAUGAAAUUUACAUAAAAUUUCAUAAAUUUAUACUACAGACUCAUAUAGAUCUGAUAUAGAUAAGGAUUGUCUGUAAAAUUAGUUCAACUUACCUGAAUUGUUGGAUGAGGGGAGGAAUGUACUUUUUCAGCAUGCUUUAGAAAAAAGCCAUUGACAAGAAUAUCAGUGUCUGCAGGUGGACCUUCUAUAUAAAUUACUACCUUUUUAGGGUAAUUAUCUAGAAGGAACUUCCCCUUCAACUGUACCCACUUUUUAUCUGUUACCUCCAUACUAUACAUCCAAAAAGACAAUCAUCAUGAAAUCAAUUAAAAAAUAUAGUAAAAGAAAAUCUAGAUAAUUUAAUUUAGUUGAUGAAAAUGAAAGAAAUGAUAUAACUUAAUAAAACCUAAAACCUCAUAUUCCUAUAUGAUAUAGUUAUAAAAAUCUAUAUAAUCUAAAUAUAUAUAAAAACUAUAAAAUUAACUUUAAAAUAUAUUUUUCUAAACGUGAUAAGUGUCUUUCUAUUAGAUUUUUUUUUGUCUAUUUAUCUAUUUUGUCCAUAUCUUAUUACUUAAUAGAUAGCUUUUUAUAUUUUUUUUGAAAGUACGUGAGUUUUCAUUUUAAUAAUAAUAAUAAUAAAUAUGUAUAUAUUAAAUAAAAUUUAUUAGUAUUAUUAUUAUUAUUAUUCCUGAUUGACAAAUGAAUAACAAGUAAAAUUAAGAUGAAAAAGUAAUUAUUCUCUAUUUUAACAACAAAAAAAUAAUAUUUAUAACUUUCUCUUGUUAAGUUUGUAAUAAAAAAAUCGAUGAUGAUUUUUUUACUGUUAAUCUCUAAAGAAAAUAAUCUUUUAUGAUAUUUGAUUUAAUACAGAAAAUGAAGUUAAUUAUUAGCGUAUUAGUAUUAAUCUUAGUUAUGUUUAGUAUAAUAAAAUGAUAAAUAAAAGAAAUUGAGAGAUUAAAAUUUAACCCAGUCCAGAUAUUGCAGUAUAAGAGGUAGUGUAAUGAAUAUGCACUCAGUAGGUGAAUAUUAAUCUGGUGUAAAUUUUAACUCAAAAAAUCAACCAUAGCUAAAUGAGAUUAACUAUUUAUAGGAAUAAAAAUUUAAAAUUUCAAUUAUAAAAUACCAUAGAUCUCUUGGUUCUAUAAAUUUUAUUUAAAAAUUAUUAAUUAAAUUAAUUUUACUAAAUAAAUUCAUUUAAUAUAAAUUGAUAAUUAAAAAAAAAAAAUUACAUGUCACUUAAUUAAAAGAGACCAGUUAACCGCCAAAAUAGGCAAUUGAGACUAUUUUCUCAAAUCCUCUGUGAAUAGAGAAGUGCCGAUGGAGAAACUAAGAAGAUUAAGUCUAAGCUAUAGAAAGCUAUGUUAAAAUUGCAAGUUAUCCAUUCUACAGAAUCUUCAUCAAGUUUUAAGACUAUAAAAGUCAUUCUUUCUCAAAUCAAAGAGGGUUUUUUAAUCGAUUUAAGAAUAAACUUUUCAAAUUCUUAAAUCUCAUAAAUCAAAGAAAAAAAAUUAAAGUAUUGAAUUUCUUUAUUUCAAAUAAUUUAUUAUUGGAAAUUCAACUCACUUUUUUUAUUAAAUUAAUAUUUAUUCCCUAUUUUUUUAUUUUUUAAUUUCAGUUAUGAAAUUUAUGUGUACACUGUUACCUUCUUUGACCUUAUACUAAAUAUAUUAAUAGUUAUUUCAAUUAAAUAAGGUCUAAAAAUAUUCACACGAUGUGGGUAAGUGUCUAAUUCAUAAAUCCACAUGAAUAAAAGGUUGAAUUAAGAAAAUGCUAUUUGCAGAAAUCGAAGCUGAUAAAAAGAAUAUUAUGUAUGGAAAUUAUUAGAGGGAAAAAGAGCUAACUUGGCAAUGCCUAUGUAUUCUUCUCGGAGAUCUGUCGUUUGGACGCAUAAAGUAACUCGCACAUCAGCACUGCUAACAUUGUUGCCAAAGAUCCGAACCACAGCAAUGGCCUCAUAAGCUACCUUUGCCUGUACUUUUCCAGUUAUCUCCUGCUCUAUUCCGUUCCAGCUCUGGGUACGCUCAGUUGCACAUGCAAAAACUUUUCCAAACAGGGGGACAAUUUUUCCACAAGCCAAUGAUUCAUGUAAGACAAGCUUGCAGCCUCUUCCAGACCAUUUGUUCAGGCCAUCCUCAAAUUUAGGAUUUGCCAUGAUGUUCCCUUCUCCAUAUCCAGUGUCCACAAAUUGAUAAUUACUUGUUUCCUUUUGAUAGCUUGUUACCUUUUGAUAGCUUGUUUCCUUUCCAUAUCAAAAUGAAAAAUUUUUUACAAAUUUAUCAUCACAAAAAAGUACAAAUAAAAUUAAUAAAUAGGUUUAAGAAGAAAAAUUACAUAGAAUUCACUUGGAGGGGAGCUGGUAAUAACGACUGAUUGUACAAGCAAGUCCACUGCAGGAGAAGGGCCUUCCAAGUAAAAAAGGACACGAUCAGGCUUCUUUGGCAGGGAGAAUUUUCCUUCCAACUUUUCCCACCUUUCCUUUGACAGAGAAAUUCUGCAGGGAUAUAUAACUUACAUUAAGACAAUCUGUAUGUUUCAUUUAAGGAAGAAAUGCAAUAAAAUGAAGCAACAAAUCUAUUACCUUCCAAUGAACAAAUAGUCUGUUGGGGAAUUUCGAUAUUCCACUCUCAAAGUAGCUUGCACAUCAGUGGUUCCUUGAAUAUUUCCUGAUACACCAACAUAUGCAGUAACAUAAUAAGUGGAACCUGGAGAAACAAUGCUUGUGAUAUCUUGCUCCAAGCCCUGCCAACUUUCUGUUCGAUUCGAGACAACUGCAUAAUAACCACCUCGCUUUGUUAAGAAUGCUUUGUGACCUGACUCUGCUGAAACCACAGAGAAACUGCAGCCAUUUGCGUGCCAAGAAUGCUGUCCUUGAGAGAAGUCAUGGUUCGUUAUGACAUUGAUGGUAGUGUUGCCACUUGAACCAGAUAUGCCCUGGUCCAUUAUGGUCUUGAUGACAGUGUCACCUCUUGAACCAGCCAUCCCAUGGUCCGCUGUGAUAUUGAUGGUUUCGCUGCUACAGGAAGUAGCUAUGCCCUGGUCCGUUAUAUUAAAGUUUGAGCAAGUUUGAAAUAUAUAUGCAAGAACAUGUAAAGAUUCUCCCAUUGACUCAUAAUAUAAAAUAAUAAUGGAUCUACAUAAAAUUUCAUAAAUUUAUACUACAGAUCUAUGUAGACCUGAUAUAUAGAUAAGAAUUGUCUGUAAAAUUAGUUCAACUAACCUGAAUUGUUGGAUGAGGGGAGGAAGGUACUUUCUCGGCAUGCUUUAGAAAAAAACCAUUGAUAAGAAUAUCAGUGUCUGCAGGUGGACCUUCUAUAAAAAUCACUACCUUUUUAGGGUAAUUAUUUAAAAGGAACUUCCCCUUCAACUGUACCCACUCUUUAUCUGUUAUCUGCAUGCUAUAGAUCCAAAAAGACAAUCAUCUUGAAAUCAAUUCAAAAAUAUGAUAAAAGAAAAUCUAAAUAAUUUAAUUUAGUUUAUAAAAAUAAUAGAAAUGAUAUAAUUGAAUAAAACCUAAAAUCUCAUAUUCCUACGUGAUAUAGUAUAAAAAUCUAUAUAAUCUACUUCUAUAUAAAUAUUAUAAAAUUAAUUCUAAAACAUAUUUUUAUAAAACUGAUAAGUGUCUUUCUAUUAGAUUUUUUUUUCCUAGUCCAUAUCUUAUUAUUUAAUAGAUAGCUCUUUAUAUUUUUUGUUAAAGAACGUGACUUUUCAUUUUAAUAAUAAUAAUAAUAAUAAUAAUAAUAAUAAUAAUAAUAAUAAUAAUGUAUAUAUUAAAUAAAAUUUAUUAGUAUUAUUAUUAUUCCUAAUUGAUAUAUGACCUUCUAGUUUCUCAGUAUUAAACUAUUUUUUUGCCCAACUUUUGAUAUUUUUUAUAAUGAGGCGUUACUCUUAGCUGAUAACUAAUAUUUACGUAAAUAAAUUAUGCUGAUCUUAUUAAAUGUUUAGUCAUAUUUUUAUUAUUAAUUACCCAUUGACAUGAUUAUAAAAUAACUAUUUAAAUUUAAAUAUAUAUAAAUAUUAUAAUAAUAAGUCAACAUAAAAAUGAUUUAUAAUAAUAAUAUAAAGUAAGAUGACAAGUAAGAUGAAAAUUAGUUAAUAAAUUAUAAUAAUGAAUAUAAAAAGUUGUAAUCACAAUUAUAUAAAAAUGAAUGAAUACCAAGUAAAAUUAAUAUGAAAAAGUAAUUAUACUCUAUUUUAAUAAUAAAAAAGAAUAUUUAUAAAUAUAAAAUCAUUAUAACUCUCUCUUGUUAAGUUUUAAAAGUGAUAAUAAAAAUAUAUUUAAAAUAAUGAUAAAACUUUCACAAAUAUGCAUAAGGCCUAAAAGCAUCCGCCCAACAUAGGUAAGUGUAGUUCAUAAAUAAAGCCAUGUGAACAAAGGGUUGAAUUAAGAAAAUCCUGUUUGUAGAGAUUCAAGGUGAUAAAAGAAUAAUAUAUACGAAGAUUAUUAGAGGGAAAAAGAGCUAACUUGGCAAUGCCUAUGUAUUCUUCUCGGAGAUCUGUCGUUUGGACGCAUAAAGUAACUCGCACAUCAGCACUGCUGACAUUGUUGCCAAAGAUCCGAACCACAGCAAUGGCCUCAUAAGCUUGCUUUGCCUGUACUUUUCCAGUUAUCUCCUGCUCGAUUCCGUUCCAGCACUGUGUACGUUCAGUUGCACAUGCAAAUACUUUUCCAAACUGGGGAACAAUUUUCCCACAAGCCAAUGAUUCAUGUAAGACAAGCUUGCAGCCUCUUCCAGACCACUUGUUCAGGCCAUCCUCAAAUUUAGGAUUCGCCAUGAUGUUCCCUUCUCCAUAUCCAAUGUCCACAAAUUGAUAAUUACUUGUUUCCUUUUGAUAACUUGUUUCCUCUUGAUAGCUUGUUUCCUUUUGAUAGCUUGUUUCCUUUCCAUAUCAAAAUGAAAAAAUUUUUACAAAUUUAUCAUCACAAAAAAGUACAAAUAAAAUUAAUAAAUAGGUUUAAGAAGAAAAAUUACAUAGAAUUCACUUGGAGGGGAGCUGGAAAUAACGACUGAUUGUACAAGCAAGUCCACUGCAGGAGAAGGGCCUUCCAAGUAAAAAAGGACACGAUCAGGCUUCUUUGGCAGGGAGAAUUUUCCUUCCAACUUUUCCCACCUUUCCUUUGACAGAGAAAUUCUGCAGGGAUAAGUUCCAUUAAGACAAUCUGUAUGUUUCAUUUAACGAAGAAAUGCAAUAAAGUGAAGCAACAAAUCUAUUACCUUCCAAUGAACAAAUAGUCCGUUGGGGAAUUUCCAUAUUCCACUCUCAAAGUAGCUUGUACAUCAGUGGUUCCCUGAAUAUUUCCUGAUACACCAAUAUAUGCAGUAACAUAAUAAGUGGAACCUGGAGAAACAAUGCUUGAGAUAUCUUGCUCCAAGCCCUGCCAACUUUCUGUUCGAUUUGUGACAACUGCAUAAUAACCGCCCCGCUUUGUUAAGAAUGCUGGGUGACCUGACUCUGCGGAAACCACAGAGAAACUGCAGCCAUUUGCUUGCCAAGAAUGCUGUCCUUGAGAGAAGUCAUGGUUCGUUAUGACAUUGAUGGUGGUGUUGCCACUUGAACUAGAUAUGCCUUGGUCCAUUAUGGUCUUGAUAGCAGUGUCACCGUAUGAACCAACUGUGCUCUGGUCCAUUGUGAUAUUGAUGGCACCACUGCUACUUGUAGAAGACAUGCCAUGGUCCCUUCUGAUAUUGGCGAUAUCGCUGCUACUUGAACUAGCUUUGCCCUGAUCCAUUAUAUUAAAGUUUGAGCAAGUUCGAAAUAUCUAUGUAAAACCAUGUAAAAAUUCUUCAAUAAUAAUAAUAAUACAACAAAUUGAGCGGGUAAAUUUUAGCGGAGAAAACUCACUGCGUUAAAGAUGUAUUAAAAUUUAUUUAGAAAGAUUAAAAUUUCGUUAUUAAAUAUAAAGAAUCACGCUAAAAUUUUUAGUGUUAUAAUUUUUAAUUUAUAAUCAUGCAGUAGUGAAUUUGAAUUUUUAAUUUACAACGAUAUAAUAGUGAAUUUAAAUUUUAUUAUUAAAUAUUCUAGCGAUAAAUUUUAUUCUCAAUAAAAAAUUAAUUUUGUAUAACGUGAUAAUAAAGAAUAUAAUCUCUUUAUUAUUUAAACAAGACAAAAAUUUAAUAUUAAAGUUAAAUAAAAAAAUUGUUUACACUAAAUUUAUAUCGAACAAUAACGUAAAAUAAUAAUUAAAUUUACAUAAAAUUUUAUAAAUUUAUAUUAUAGAACGAUAUAGAUUUAAUGUAAAUUAAGAAUUGAUCGUAGAGUUAAUUCAACUAACCUGAAUUGUUGGAUGAGGGGAGGAAGUUACUUUCUCGGCAUGCUUUAAAAAAAAGCCAUUAACUAGAAUAUCAACAUCUGCAGGUGGACCUUCUAUGAAAAUCACCACCUUUUUAAGAUAACCAUUAAGAAGGAACCUCCCUUUGAGUUGUACCCACUCCUUAUCUGUUACUUGCCGACUACAAAUCCAAAAAAACAAUUAAAAAAUAUAGAAUUUGAUUUGAUUGAUGAAAAUAAUAGAGAUGAUAUAAAUGAAUAAAACCUAAAACCUCACAUUUCUACAUCAUAGGUAUAAAAAUCUAUAUAAUCUAUAUCUAUAUAAAUAUAAUAAAAUUCAAGUCUAAAAUAAUUUUUAUUAAAGGUGAUAAGUGUUUUUUUUUUUUUUUUUUUUUNNGGUUGGGGGAGUCGAAUCUUAGACCUUUCAAGGUUACAGGAUGCACUUUCCACCAGGCUAAGCCUUGGAGUGCGAUAAAUAUCUUUCUUUUAUUUUUUUUUUAGUCCAUUUCGCCCCAAGUGACUUUUCACUUUAACGAAAUAAAGUUAAUGAUGAUAUAUUCUUUACGGAAUAAUAAUUAAUUCCUAAAGGAAAUUUUUUUAUAAUAUUUGAUUAAUAUUGAAAAUGAGGGUAAUUAUUACUCUAUUAAUUUUUACUAUGAUAUAAUAAAAUAAUAAAUAAAAAAAUUGAAAGGUUGAAAUUUAACUUUUAAAUGUGAGAUUCACCUGUUAUGUUUCGGAAGAAAUUUUAAAAAUAUCGCAUCCAUAAUUUACGAUAAAUCGAAAUUGUAUAUAAUAAUUAGAAUGAAAUUAUUAAAUAAUUUAUAUUAACUAUUUUAAAUUAAAUAAAAAAUGAGUUCAAAAAUUAUUUAGAUCAGUUCGGAUCGAACUGUUUCGAUUAGUAUCAGAGCCACUUUAGAAAGGUCCAAUCUUGAUUUAACAAUUAUAUUCGAUUCAAUUAUGAUAUUCUCUCUCAAUAAUUUCAGAUCAGGAAUUUAAGACAAAUUGAAAUCGUAUUAAAUAGUUAGUAUGAAACUAUUAAAUAAUUUGAGUUAACCAUUUUAAAUCAAAUAAAAAAUAAAUUUAAAAAUUAUUUAAAUCAGUUUAAACCGAACUGAUUUAUAUAAUAUCAUUUCAGAUAUUGCGGUAGGAGAGUCUGUACAAUAAAUAUACACUCACUAAAUUGAUAUAUUAUCGUAGUGUAAAUUUUAAUUCAAAAAAUCGACCAUAACUAAAUGAGAUUAAUUAUUUGUAGGAAUAAAAAUUUAAAAUUCUAAUUAUAAAAUGCUAUAGGUAUUUGGGCGUACAAAUUUUAUUUAAUAAUUUUUAAUUAAAUUAAUUUUAUUAAAUAAACUCAUUUAACAUGAAUUGAUCAAUUAAAAAAAAUUACAUGUCACUUAACUAAAAGAAACAAAUUAACUAAUAAAAUAGGCAAUGGAGAUUCUCCUUUCAAAUCUCCUAUAAAUAGAGAGGCUCUGCCCCACAGAAAAACUAGGAAGAUCAAGUUUAAACUAUAAAAGCAAAGGUCUUCUUUAUCGAUUUAAGAACAAAAUUAGAACAAAAAUUUCAAAUUCUUGAAUAGCAUAAAUUAAAUGAUUGAAUUUUUUUAUUUUAAAAAAUUUAUUAUUGGAGUCCGAACUCAUUUUUUUUUAUUUAAUUGAUAUUUUUUAAUUUCAGUUAUGAAAUUUAUGCGUAUACUAUUACCUCCUUUGACUCUAUAGCAGAUGUAGUAGUGGAACUUUAGAUUUUCUAUCUUAUAUUAUUCCAACUAAGUCCUAAAAGCAUCCACCCAACAUAGAUAAGUGUAGUUCAUAAAUAAAGUCAUGUGAACAAAGGGCUGAAUUAAGAAAAUGCUGUUUGCAGUGAUUCAAGGUGAUGAAAGAAUAAUAUAUACGGAGAUUAUUAGAGGGAAAAAGAGCUAACUUGGCAAUGCCUAUGUAUUCUUCUCGGAGAUCUGUCGUUUGGACGCAUAAAGUAACUCGCACAUCAGCACUGCUGACAUUGUUGCCAAAGAUCCGAACGACAGCAAUGGCCUCAUAAGCUAGCUUUGCCUGUACUUUUCCAGUUAUCUCCUGCUCGAUUCCGUUCCAGCACUGUGUACGUUCAGUUGCACAUGCAAAUACUUUUCCAAACUGGGGAACAAUUUUCCCACAAGCCAAUGAUUCAUGUAAGACAAGCUUGCAGCCUCUUCCAGACCACUUGUUCAGGCCAUCCUCAAAUUUAGGAUUUGCCAUGAUGUUCCCUUCUCCAUAUCCAAUGUCCACAAAUUGAUAAUUACUUGUUUCCUUUUGAUAACUUGUUUCCUCUUGAUAGCUUGUUUCCAUUUGAUAGCUGGUUUCCUUUUGAUAGCUUGUUUCCUUUUGAUAGCUUGUUUCCUUUCCAUAUCAAAAUGAAAAUUUUUUUACAAAUUUAUCAUCACAAAAAAGUACAAAUAAAAUUAAUAAAUAGGUUUAAGAAGAAAAAUUACAUAGAAUUCACUUGGAGGGGAGCUGGUAAUAACAACUGAUUGUAUAAGCAAG
This 17446-nucleotide long non-coding RNA is filed under the name Manihot esculenta (cassava). RNAcentral describes it as "long non-coding RNA (MESC_LNC003092)". The record is from RNAcentral. Lineage: Eukaryota; Viridiplantae; Streptophyta; Magnoliopsida; Malpighiales; Euphorbiaceae.